CCUACGGGUGGCUGCAGUGGGGAAUAUUGCACAAUGGGGGAAACCCUGAUGCAGCAACGCCGCGUGAGUGAAGAAGUAUUUCGGUAUGUAAAGCUCUAUCAGCAGAGAAGAAGAUGACGGUACCUGACUAAGAAGCCCCGGCUAACUACGUGCCAGCAGCCGCGGUAAUACGGAGGGGGCAAGCGUUACCCGGAUUUACUGGGUGUAAAGGGCGCGCAGACGGCAGAGCAAGUCUGAAGUGAAAGCCUGGGGCUCAACCCCAGAACUGCAUUGGAAACUGUGCGGCUAGAGUACUGGAGGGGCAGGCGGAAUUCCUAGUGUAGCGGUGAAAUGCGUAGAUAUUAGGAGGAACACUAGUGGCGAAGGCGACCUGCUGGACAGUAACUGACGUUGAGGCUCGAAAGCGUGGGGAGCAAACAGGAUUAGAUACCCUUGUAGUC
RNAcentral lists this ribosomal RNA (440 nucleotides) under uncultured bacterium. RNAcentral describes it as "partial 16S ribosomal RNA". It matches the Rfam family "Bacterial small subunit ribosomal RNA", at positions 338 to 795 of the family's 1533-position model. The record is from RNAcentral.